UCACAUGUCAACCGAGCAGCCAAAUAUAUUUUCGGUCGGUCCAAAAAUAACAACCAAAUCAACAAUAAUAUCAUUGGAAAUUGCUAAACAUUUGCUUAAUUUACAAACAUGUAUCAGUAUUAGGAAUUUAAAGUGUAAUUUAAAAUCACAAAAUAAAUACACAACAAAUACAUAAUUUACUGAAUGCAUCAAAUAGGUAAUUGUCACUAUCUACAUACAAGCACAGCAGAAACAACGUAGAACGUGUCAGAAAGGGACUGAUUGACAUGUGAGCUUGCCCUCCCAUUCCCCGUCUCGCUCACCGCCGUAUUCCCCUCUCUUUCGCUCUCUGGGGCUUCUGUUGUGCGUGGGCUUGGUAGAAUGCCUUUGAAGAAACCUUCGCUGCUUUUGGCUUUAUUUUCUGUGUCGCAAAAGGGAACACCGAGAGGCACGCACACACAGACGCCAUUAAUGUAUCACAUAACCCAGUAGCAAGUAGCUAGAGAAGCGGAGAAAGGGGCCCAGAAGAAAGGAGGAGGAGGAGGAGAAGAAAGGCGGGCGGAGAAUAGGGAGCCGUCUGAGUUUUAAUGAGAGAUGCACGCGUGUACCAAUUUCCCUUUGGGAAUCCAUUUUGGACACGUUCGACAUGUGGAACCUGUUUGUUUUCGGGAACCCAGACGGUGGAACCUGUUCCCAGUGAGGUCUCAGCCCAAUCCAGAGUAUAGAAUAACGGUGUCAGGCUGCAGAAACAACGAGGCAAAGUGAAAGAUUCUCGUUAUUAAAGAUGCCCAAAAUAAGAAAAAGGGGAGCAGAUAAGAGCAGUUGGCAAAGUUGUGAAAAGGUUUUUCUUCAAGAUUUUUAAUUUCCAUACUAAAUCUUCAUUAUAAGAGAAUGUACCAUUCUCACUUAUCAAUCAGAUAAGGAAUAAAUCGAUUGUCAAAUAAA
Molecule: long non-coding RNA, 924 nt
Organism: Drosophila simulans
Lineage: Eukaryota; Metazoa; Arthropoda; Insecta; Diptera; Drosophilidae
Exons: 3
Source: RefSeq, a predicted model, not a curated record